Molecule: non-coding RNA, 3836 nt
Organism: Xyrichtys novacula (pearly razorfish)
Lineage: Eukaryota; Metazoa; Chordata; Actinopteri; Labriformes; Labridae
Source: the annotation of a GenBank genome assembly
CUACAUGCUGCUCCGGAAGGGGAUUUUGUCCCCCGCCGCCGGAGUUGUCGGGGAAGAAGCGAGCGGCUAAAAUACGGGAGGAUCCGGUAAACCGGCGCGGAUCCGGUGUGUUUAUCAAAGCGUGGUGGCCGUGCUGAGGCACCGGGGGGAAUUUAGGCUAAACGGUAAGUCAAAAUAAAACGUCCAUACUUACAGAUGCCACGUUUGUAGUAGGAUCACGGAUAGUUGGUACGGAUCCAUUCUUUAUCUUCAGACAUCUAGCAAAUCCAGCGUUGAACUGUCCCUCGUUGAUAAAACAGUCCGAAGUGAAAUGGUGCGCACAUACGUACAGAUAUUUUGGAAGUGCCGCGGGUACAUUCCCAUUAUAAACAAACUCCACCCAUUGAGUCCUCAAAUCCUGCAACGAGGGAGUUUUCAAAAGAGUUUUGUGCUCGUUUGUGCAGCCAACAACAGAGCAAACGCUGCCUCUUUUUCAGAUCGUACUUUCGCCAUGGUUCUAACCGGAGCUACGUGAGCGAGCGGCCGGAAAUAAUGGCGCUGUUUAGAUAAUCUUUUGGGCAGGGCAGUGGGCGGCUCCAUGGGCAGUACCAUCAACCCGCCAGCACUGACAUGACAUCAUGUCACGUGCCACGUUUGUAGUAAAACUCCACUGACAUGACAUCAUGUCAGUGGAGUUUUCAGAACGGCUCUGAGCACACAGUCCCUAAAUACGGAGAUACAUUUUUUUUCCCACACAUCAGAACAGUGAUUCUUGUGUGAACCUGAUGAUCCUAGGUCAGACACUGUAGAUUCAGCUUCAGUCUUCACUCAUCACUGUCCUCAGGCUUCGUAGUUUGAUAUUAAAACUGUUCUUAACCAGCUAUUUGCAAACUGAAACUGUUAGCUGUAGUAAGAAAUCAGAGCUGGCUCUGACACUAAAAAAGUAGCUGCUUAUUUUUCUCUUUUUACUUAACCAGGAAAUAUCCCAUUGCUAUGAGGAACCUCUUUUUCAAGGGAGUCCUGGCCAAGAGGCAGUAAACACAAAAUACAGAUGCAUGUUUACAUAAAUAAGACACAGAGCUUAAACACUUUAUGAGAAACAAGUACAAAUUGUGGAAUUGGCCUCAAAAAUGCUCAGUUUGGAUUUAAAAGAGCUCAAAGAAAUGAAGUCAGUUAGUUUCCAGUCUUUUAAAAGUAUAUUCCAUGCAUUAGGUGCAGGGUAAAAAAAAUGCCUUUUUACCCAACUCCGUACGAGCAUCAGGGACAGAAAGCAACAAAUGAUCUUGUGAACGAAGAGAAUAAGAUUCAGCAUUUCUCAGAGUAAUUAAGGUGCAAAUGUAUGAGGGCAGCAGACCCAAUAUUGCCUUAUAAAUGAAAGCGUACCGAUGACUUGCCCUUCAGUCAUCCUACUAGAGAGUAUAAUUCACAAUGUUGAGUGGACUUCUUACAGUUAGUAAUGAACCUCAAAGAAGCACGAUUAACAGUAUCAAUCAUUAUAAGACAUUGGGCAGGAGCAUUUGUGUACAAGGGUCUCCGUAAUCCAACAAAUACUGCAGUGACAAGACGAUUUUAUUUACAUUAAAAGAAAAACACAACUUGUUUUGAUGAUAAAAACCUAAUUUUUGCUUCAGCUUCUCCACAAGAUUGUCUAUGUGUGGCUUGAAAGUGAGUGAGUCAUCGAUCAAGACUCCUAAGUAUUUAUAAACCACUUCUAUUUCUCUGCCCUCAAGAGUGGACACUGCAUUGAGAACCAGUUUCAAGUGAAUUAAUGAGUGUUACAUAGCUACAAAAGCUUUCAGCAAAAAUUCAACAGCCUGAACAAGAGUUAUUGUGGGCUGAUGCGAGAAGGGAGUCUGAAGUUUUUACUGUGAGUGAAAAUCACUGAGUUCUGUUUGAUGACUGACUUUACGAUAAGUCAACGAAGCUUUUAACUCUUAAUACAGUAAUUUUAAGUACACCAUUUCCAACCCUUAAAUGUGUAGCAUUAGUUCAUAAUGACAUGAUCAUUAAUUUGAACAGUCAUUUCCUCAUUUUCUCCUGAAUAAGCUGGUGUUUUUUUUCGCUGCAGGCCUGUCUUUAUGGUUUUGAGGCUACUUCAGAAAAGGAUCUCUCUGGUUGGUUGCCACCGAACCCCCCGCCUGUAUUUCUAUCAGUAACAUAUUGAGCAAUGAUAACAAAUCUCCCCUUAACAUCAACAUCACUCAGUUAGAAUUAUCCCCACAAGCAGGAUUUGUAACAAUCUUGGUUUUCAAAACAGCCAUGUUGUCUGGGAGCGUCCAGUGAAAACAAAGAGAAGAAUGGCAGAGCUAAUGUGGAGCUGGGCCUGCACAGAGUUAGGUUUCAGUCUAAUUGGGAUCAUACGCCGCAUGUGCACUUUUGGCACAUACGUUAGAUUAAUCAGGGGCUCUUUAAUCGUGGAGAAAUUCUCCUGUGCGUGGCUGGGCGGACCCUGGGCCCCCCUCACAGACCCCCAGCCUGCAUGGGCUCUGUCUAAGCACAGACCUUUUGACUCCAUAAACACCCACACUCAGAAAUUGGGGUCAACCUCUCAUUGCUAGCACCAGAGCGCUAUCAUGCCACCACAAAGGGUCCCCUUAAUGAUUAAAUUACAUCGAGUAUAGAUGUUCCGAAUCUGCAGAUUCCUGGCGGCUGACUCUUCCUCCUGAUUGUAAUUUAUGUCGGAAGUCAUUGCUGUCCAACACUCGGCCUGUUCAAAGCCCAGGAGAGAGGAUGUGCACGUGGAUGAAGUCUGCAUGGUGCAGCUGGCUGCAGCUUUAAUCUGCCUCACAUACCUCACACAGUCACCUUGUUCCGCUUGCACACACUGACACAACGGCCAUGAAUGUAUUUCUAAAAAGUGCUCGUGUUUUUCUUUCUUAUUGCUGUGACUCUUUCGCCAACCUCAGCUCAGGCCUGUGUUUAGGUUAACCUGCCAUUAAUCUGCAUAUGAUUAAGGCCUGACAUACAUUUGACAUUCUGGGCAAGGACUGAUUAGCCAUUUACUUGGAUGAUGAUGAUGAUGAUGAUGAUGAUGUGUGUGUGUGUGUGUGUGUGUGUGUGUGUGUGUGUGUGUGUGUGUGUGUGUGUGUGUGUCGCAGAUGUGGAUCCUUAGGUGAAACUGAGAGCUGUUUUAUGAGACCACCAUGUAAAAAGAAAAAGAAGUGUGCUCAGAUUAUUUUAAAAAAAGAUAUUUACAAUGAUCAGUAGGAAUGAAGAUUCUGCUAUACUCUAAUUUUGUAAAGAGCUGCCAGUGAAAAUUAUUAAAAAGAUAUUUUUUAUCCCUAAAAGUAUCAGUGUCUAAUAAUGUUGAAGAGGUUUUGUGACUUUAAAGGAUGUAAUAAUUCAAAAUAUUCAUCUUUUAGCUGAAAAGAUGAUGGACUUCAUAAUCGCACGUGUUUAAAAUGUAAAGUGUGCUGGUAAUUUCAUCUUAAAAUCAGCAAAAUUUACAAAAAUAAUAAAAUAAUGUAACAGAAACUCUUGAGAAUAAAGUGACAUUAAUAUGUGUUUUUGCAAAUUAAACUGUUUCCAGCCCUUAAGGGUGUAUUCUGAGCUGAAGAAAAGGAGCUUCGGUGUUAGUAUUGAGGGCUUGUUUAAACUGUGUUUCCUCUGCUUGAAUGAUCUGGCUUUGUUCUCGUGUUUACAGCACUUGAAAACCUGCUGACUUCAGCGCUCAUGCCGGCCACAUUAUGAGUACGGCUGCUUAUUGAUCCCACACACCGCAGCUUCAAGGACAACACCUCAACCUAAAGGGUCAGCGGGCUCAACAUGAAGCUGUGGUGGAAAAAUGACAGGGGACAAUUACAGAAAAGACACAUGUUGGACCACAGAGUCUGUGAUAUUUAAUUUUUUUUUUUUUU